Long non-coding RNA from Daktulosphaira vitifoliae (grape phylloxera), 252 nucleotides. RefSeq lists it as uncharacterized. NCBI's taxonomy places the organism in Eukaryota, Metazoa, Arthropoda, Insecta, Hemiptera, Phylloxeridae. The transcript is spliced from 2 exons. The record is from RefSeq and is a predicted model, not a curated record.
UAUAUAAUAUUGCCGGAAAUUUCAUCCCUUCCAAAUAAGAAUAAAAUUGUCAAACAAUAUUGGGUGUUCUACGGUCAAAAACCGUGAUAUGAGGACAACUCAAACUGUUAUUUUACGUGUGGAUCAUUUCAUUGAUGACGGUCAGCUCGAUUAGUCCCACUUGGUUAAAAAAUUUGCCUUGUGGGAUCAUGCAGAUAAGUAAUUUUAAAUUAGUAAACAUACAAAAUAAAUCCAUACUAUUUUAAAUUUUAA